GGAGCUUUAGUUUAAUCAGGAAAAACACCAGACUCCAAAUCUGGAAGAUAAAGGUUCAAAUCCUUUAAGCUUCGCCA
Molecule: transfer RNA, 77 nt
Filed under: Anaerococcus porci
Lineage: Bacteria; Bacillati; Bacillota; Tissierellia; Tissierellales; Peptoniphilaceae
Also listed under: 1 other name
Description: tRNA-Trp
Rfam family: tRNA
About the family: Transfer RNA (tRNA) molecules are approximately 80 nucleotides in length. Their secondary structure includes four short double-helical elements and three loops (D, anti-codon, and T loops).
Source: RNAcentral